AAAGUAGAAAUAACGAGAACAGCCUUGCUCUUUUUCUCCCUUCCAAGUAGGUAGGAGAAAAUUGCUUGAUUAGAUUAUAGGGUCUGUAUAUGUGUGUAAAGAAUUUAUUGUGGGAAAUCUAUAUUAGUGCCAAAGCGAUUAAUGCUAAUUAAUGUUCCCAAGUUUAAUAACAAAAGAAUUAAUAGUGAACAGCCACUUACUAUAAAGUGUUUCCUUGACAUUUCUUACUAAAAAUAAAAAUUCAGAGCAUGCUGCAUAGAUUUGAAGGAAGAAGAAAAAGAAAGAUUAGGUAAAGAAAACAUCUCACUGUAAUUUAAACCAUUAUUUGUCUGACAGCUUUUUAUCUCCUGUCUGGAAGAAAUAAACAUAUUAAAUUUUUUAUUAAAAUAGUUAGACUUCGUAAGAGUAUUUUUCCCAGUUCAGUAAUAAAUAUUUAUUUCUGCCAGAAACAAAGAAGUUUGUCUGUGAGGCUUUUACUGAAGCUUAGCCAAAGGUACGAGUCUUUUAAUGAAGAAAUACAGCUUUUACAGACUUGCUUUCUCUUCUUCGGUAUAAAUUUUGAUGUAUAAAUAACGUUCCUACAGAGACCUGGUCAUCCUCUGGUAUUGAUCACCUGCCUCCCUGUCCUCCAAGGUGUUGGCGCCUUUGAUUAUUGUUUAUGAAGGAUGAAGAGCACUGUAUCAAUUAAAGGAUAGCUCUGAAAUGUGGAGUUAAACCACAGCCACGAUCUGGAUGUGCUCCGCCUAUGAUCUGGACGUGGAUAGGGUUUCUCUGUCUGUGCUUCUGGCAAAUGUGGUCUGAAUCAGUCAUAGCCUCAAACAAAUGUCAGCACCUUUACUGGGAAAUGUAGUGACCAGUGGAUUAGACAAACGAGAGGGCUGGAAAUGGGUCUGCUUCAAGUCUUACCAUCUACCUUGUGGAGUGACAUCUGGAGAUGGUGGAGGUAAGAGAACUACCGCAGAACAGGCAGGAAAGGAUAUAUCUUGGGUGUCUGUAGCUCGGGUUGUAUUGGAGGGCAGAGUCAAACCUUGUAGUUAUGGGGAUUUGCCAUGGAUCUGGAGGUGUGUGGCAGAGGGCCGGUAGGUCAGUGUUUAAUGGGGAGGCAUGUAUUAUUUAUUCUUGCUUUUGGGUACAGAUGGACCCAAAUCAAGCCGUGCCUCCAGACUGCAGGGGUGUUAGAACUGGGUCCAA
Meleagris gallopavo (turkey) is the source of this 1191-nucleotide non-coding RNA. The record is from RefSeq and is a predicted model, not a curated record. NCBI's taxonomy places the organism in Eukaryota, Metazoa, Chordata, Aves, Galliformes, Phasianidae.